RNAcentral lists this ribosomal RNA (484 nucleotides) under uncultured bacterium. Its description in RNAcentral is "partial 16S ribosomal RNA". The record is from RNAcentral.
GUAGUUAGCCGGGGCUUCCUCACAAGGUACCGUCACUUCUUCGUCCCUUGCGACAGAGGUUUACAACCCGAAAGCCUUCUUCCCUCACGCGGCGUUGCUGGGUCAGGCUUGCGCCCAUUGCCCAAUAUUCCCCACUGCUGCCUCCCGUAGGAGUCUGGACCGUGUCUCAGUUCCAGUGUGGCCGAUCAGCCUCUCAGCUCGGCUACCCAUCGUCGGCAUGGUGGGCCUUUACCCCGCCAUCUACCUAAUGGGACGCGAACCCCUCCUAAAGCGAUAAAUCUUUGACCCCUCUGCCAUGCGACAGUGUGGUCUUAUGCGGUAUUAGCAUCAAUUUCUCGAUGUUGUCCCCCACUUUAGGUCAGGUUGUUCACGCGUUACUCACCCGUUCGCCACUAAGCUAUCAAACCGAAUCCAAUAGCUCCGUUCGACUUGCAUGUGUUAGGCACGCCGCCAGCGUUCGUCCUAAGCCAGGAUCAAACUCUGA